AAAACCACGAGUUUGAUCAUGGCUCAGAGCGAACGCUGGCGGCAGGCUUAACACAUGCAAGUCGAACGGGCGUAGCAAUACGUUAGUGGCAGACGGGUGAGUAACACGUGGGAACGUACCUUUUGGUUCGGAACAACUGAGGGAAACUUCAGCUAAUACCGGAUAAGCCCUUACGGGGAAAGAUUUAUCGCCAAAAGAUCGGCCCGCGUCUGAUUAGCUUGUUGGUGAGGUAACGGCUCACCAAGGCGACGAUCAGUAGCUGGUCUGAGAGGAUGAUCAGCCACAUUGGGACUGAGACACGGCCCAAACUCCUACGGGAGGCAGCAGUGGGGAAUAUUGGACAAUGGGCGAAAGCCUGAUCCAGCCAUGCCNCGUGAGUGAUGAAGGCCCUAGGGUUGUAAAGCUC
This 406-nucleotide ribosomal RNA is filed under the name uncultured bacterium. Its description in RNAcentral is "bacterial SSU rRNA". It matches the Rfam family "Bacterial small subunit ribosomal RNA", at positions 1 to 433 of the family's 1533-position model. The record is from RNAcentral.